Molecule: ribosomal RNA, 410 nt
Filed under: uncultured bacterium
Lineage: Bacteria
Description: bacterial SSU rRNA
Rfam family: Bacterial small subunit ribosomal RNA
Source: RNAcentral
AUUGAACGCUGGCGGCAUGCCUUACACAUGCAAGUCGAACGGCAGCACGGGAGCAAUCCUGGUGGCGAGUGGCGAACGGGUGAGUAAUGUAUCGGAACGUACCUUUCAGUGGGGGAGUAACGUAGCGAAAGUUACGCUAAUACCGCAUAUUCUGUGAGCAGGAAAGCAGGGGAGUCGCAAGACCUUGCGCUGAUUGAGCGGCCGAUAUCAGAUUAGCUAGUUGGUGAGGUAAAGGCUCACCAAGGCGACGAUCUGUAGCGGGUCUGAGAGGAUGAUCCGCCACACUGGAACUGAGACACGGUCCAGACUCCUACGGGAGGCAGCAGUGGGGGAAUUUUGGACAAUGGGCGCAAGCCUGAUCCAGCCAUGCCGCGUGAGUGAAGAAGGCCUUCGGUUGUAAGACGUCUUUC